UACGGGGGGUGCAAGCGUUGUUCGGAAUUAUUGGGCGUAAAGCGCGUGUAGGCGGUUUGAUUAGUCUGAUGUGAAAGCCCUGGGCUCAACCCAGGAAGUGCAUUGGAUACUGUCAGACUUGAAUACGGGAGAGGGUAGUGGAAUUCCUAGUGUAGGAGUGAAAUCCGUAGAUAUUAGGAGGAACACCGGUGGCGAAGGCGGCUACCUGGACCGAUAUUGACACUCAGACCCGAAAGUGCGGGGAUCAAACAGG
RNAcentral lists this ribosomal RNA (253 nucleotides) under uncultured bacterium. RNAcentral describes it as "partial 16S ribosomal RNA". It matches the Rfam family "Bacterial small subunit ribosomal RNA", at positions 524 to 776 of the family's 1533-position model. The record is from RNAcentral.